RNAcentral lists this transfer RNA (74 nucleotides) under Treponema sp. RNAcentral's name for it is "tRNA-Ala". It matches the Rfam family "tRNA". From Rfam's summary of the family: Transfer RNA (tRNA) molecules are approximately 80 nucleotides in length. The record is from RNAcentral. Lineage: Bacteria; Pseudomonadati; Spirochaetota; Spirochaetia; Treponematales; Treponemataceae.
GGGGGCAUAGCUCAGCUGGGAUGAGCGCUUGACUGGCAGUCAAGAGGUCAGGGGUUCGAUCCCCCUUGUCUCCA